Molecule: long non-coding RNA, 544 nt
Filed under: Rattus norvegicus (Norway rat)
Lineage: Eukaryota; Metazoa; Chordata; Mammalia; Rodentia; Muridae
Description: long non-coding RNA NONRATT013544
Source: RNAcentral
GAAAUGGUUCAAAUUUGGUGAGAGAGGAAGAACGUGAAAAAAAAAGGAAUGACAAUUUGUUUGUUAGAGAAAGUGGAGGCCACUGGAAUGACAGUUUUUGGAAGUGUGGAGCAGUUUGGCUAAGAAUAGGAAUGAAAGAUAUUUUUUUCCAGUUCCUUGUCGCCAGAGUGAGGAAGCGCCAUUCCCUGUCUUGCUUGCAUACAUUGCCAGUUGUGUCUCCUCUACGUAAAACAGAAAGGGGUUCAUACUCAUCUUAUGGGAGAGAAAACGUACAGGGUUGCCACCAGCAGAGUCUCCUCGGAGGGGACAUGGAUAUGGGCAACCCAGGAACCCUUUCGCCCACCAAACCUGGCUCCCAGUACUACCCAUAUUCCAGCAAUAACGCCCGACGGAGGCCUCUUCACAGUAGUACCAUGGAGGUGCAGACAAAGAAAGUCAGAAAAGUUCCUCCAGGCUUGCCAUCUUCAGUAAGUGCUGCCUGUCUUUUUUUUUAGCUCUGUACUUUGUCCAUUGUGUAUGUGUUUGGUGUCAGUAGAAGGCUAAC